This 253-nucleotide ribosomal RNA is filed under the name uncultured bacterium. RNAcentral describes it as "partial 16S ribosomal RNA". It matches the Rfam family "Bacterial small subunit ribosomal RNA", at positions 524 to 776 of the family's 1533-position model. The record is from RNAcentral.
UACGAAGGGGGCUAGCGUUGUUCGGAAUCACUGGGCGUAAAGCGCACGUAGGCGGAUUGUUAAGUCGGAGGUGAAAUCCCAGGGCUCAACCCUGGAACUGCCUUCGAUACUGGCUAUCUCGAGUCCGGGAGAGGUGAGUGGAACUGCGAGUGUAGAGGUGAAAUGCGUAGAUAUCUGGAGGAACACCGGUGGCGAAGGCGACGUCCUGGACCGGCAUUGACGCUGAGGCGCGAAAGCCAGGGGAGCAAACGGG